CUGGGAACGCGAAGAACCUUACCAAGUCUUGACAUCGGAAUGACCGUCCCGUAACGGGGACUUCCCUUCGGGGCAUUCCAGACAGGUGGUGCAUGGUUGUCGUCAGCUCGUGUCGUGAGAUGUUGGGUUAAGUCCCGCAACGAGCGCAACCCUUAUCCUUAGUAGCCAGCAGUUCGGCUGGGCACUCUGGGGAGACUGCCAGGGAUAACCUGGAGGAAGGUGGGGAUGACGUCAAAUUAUCAUGCCCCUUAUGAUUUGGGCUACACACGUGCUACAAUGGCGUAAACAAAGGGAAGCGAAGGAGUGAUCUGGAGCAAAUCUCAAAAAUAACGUCUCAGUUCGGAUUGUAGUCUGCAACUCGACUACAUGAAGCUGGAAUCGCUAGUAAUCGCGGAUCAGAAUGCCGCGGUGAAUACGCUCCCGGGUCUUGUACACACCG
RNAcentral lists this ribosomal RNA (439 nucleotides) under uncultured bacterium. RNAcentral's name for it is "bacterial SSU rRNA". It matches the Rfam family "Bacterial small subunit ribosomal RNA", at positions 953 to 1392 of the family's 1533-position model. The record is from RNAcentral.